GCAGCAGCUUCAUAACCACAGUUACACACACACACACACCAACACGUCUUCCACCAAAGAAAAUGCCAUUUCUGCAGACGAUUGUCUCGGUCUCGCUGGACGACCAGAAACGCGCCAACCUUUCGACAGCGUACCGCAUGAUCUGCCGCGAGGAACUCGGCAAGCCCGAGGACUUCGUGAUGACUGCGUUCAGUGAUAACACCCCGAUGUCUUUCCAAGGUUCCACAGCCCCUGCUGCUUACGUACGCGUCGAGUGCUGGGGCGAAUACGCGCCCUCGAAGCCCAAGAUGAUGACGCCGAGGAUCGCCGCGGCCAUUACGAAGGAGUGCGGCAUCCCGGCUGAGCGUAUCUACGUGUUCUACUACAGCACGAAGCACUGCGGCUGGAACGGCGCUAACUUUUGAGCGUUGACCUCGUGCCGUGGGCCGGCUGCCCGAGAAGGGGCGACGCCAAGCUUGCCUAUGUAUUUCUUUUUCCAACCCAGAGUGUAGC
RNAcentral lists this unclassified non-coding RNA (492 nucleotides) under Leishmania donovani. Its description in RNAcentral is "gene:LdHU3.33.2740(CDS-product:macrophage_migrati on_inhibitory_factor-like_protein)". Lineage: Eukaryota; Euglenozoa; Kinetoplastea; Trypanosomatida; Trypanosomatidae. The record is from RNAcentral.